Molecule: ribosomal RNA, 558 nt
Filed under: Polyzonus fasciatus
Lineage: Eukaryota; Metazoa; Arthropoda; Insecta; Coleoptera; Cerambycidae
Description: SSU rRNA
Rfam family: Eukaryotic small subunit ribosomal RNA
Source: RNAcentral
AAAGCUCGUAGUCGAAUCUGUGUCCCGCGCCGCCGGUUCAUCGUUCGCGGUGUUAACUGGCGUGCCGCGGGACGUCCUGCCGGUGGGCUUAGCUCGCAAGAGGGCCCAACUCAAUCCCGCCGCGGUGCUCUUCACUGAGUGUCGAGGUGGGCCGGCACGUUUACUUUGAACAAAUUAGAGUGCUUAAAGCAGGCUAGAAUUUCGCCUGAAUACUGUGUGCAUGGAAUAAUGGAAUAGGACCUCGGUUCUAUUUUGUUGGUUUUCGGAACCCCGAGGUAAUGAUUAAUAGGAACGGAUGGGGGCAUUCGUAUUGCGACGUUAGAGGUGAAAUUCUUGGAUCGUCGCAAGACGGACAGAAGCGAAAGCAUUUGCCAAAAACGCUUUCAUUGAUCAAGAACGAAAGUUAGAGGUUCGAAGGCGAUCAGAUACCGCCCUAGUUCUAACCAUAAACGAUGCCAGCUAGCGAUCCGCCGACGUUCCUCCGAUGACUCGGCGGGCAGCUUCCGGGAAACCAAAGCUUUUGGGUUCCGGGGGAAGUAUGGUUGCAAAGCUGAAACU